UACGAAGGGUGCAAGCGUUAAUCGGAAUUACUGGGCGUAAAGGGUGCGUAGGCGGUUAUUUAAGGCUGCCGUGAAAUCCCCGGGCUUAACCUGGGAAUGGCGAUGGAGACUGCGAGGCUAGAGUUUGGCAGAGGGGGGUAGAAUUCCACGUGUAGCAGUGAAAUGCGUAGAUAUGUGGAGGAAUACCGAUGGCGAAGGCAGCCCCCUGGGAUAACACUGACGCUCAUGCACGAAAGCGUGGGGAGCAAACAGG
This 253-nucleotide ribosomal RNA is filed under the name uncultured bacterium. RNAcentral's name for it is "partial 16S ribosomal RNA". It matches the Rfam family "Bacterial small subunit ribosomal RNA", at positions 524 to 776 of the family's 1533-position model. The record is from RNAcentral.